RNAcentral lists this ribosomal RNA (446 nucleotides) under uncultured bacterium. Its description in RNAcentral is "partial 16S ribosomal RNA". It matches the Rfam family "Bacterial small subunit ribosomal RNA", at positions 338 to 795 of the family's 1533-position model. The record is from RNAcentral.
CCUACGGGAGGCAGCAGUCGAGAAUCAUUCACAAUGGGGGAAACCCUGAUGGUGCGACGCCGCGUGGGGGAAUGAAGGUCUUCGGAUUGUAAACCCCUGUCAUGUGGGAGCAAAUUAAAAAGAUAGUACCACAAGAGGAAGAGACGGCUAACUCUGUGCCAGCAGCCGCGGUAAUACAGAGGUCUCAAGCGUUGUUCGGAAUCACUGGGCGUAAAGUGUGCGUAGGCUGUUUCGUAAGUCGUGUGUGAAAGGCGCGGGCUCAACCCGCGGACGGCACAUGAUACUGGGAGACUAGAGUAAUGGAGGGGGAACCGGAAUUCUCGGUGUAGCAGUGAAAUGCGUAGAUAUCGAGAGGAACACUCGUGGCGAAGGCGGGUUCCUGGACAUUAACUGACGCUGAGGCACGAAGGCCAGGGGAGCGAAAGGGAUUAGAUACCCUGGUAGUC